ACGUAGGGGGCGAGCGUUGUUCGGAAUUAUUGGGCGUAAAGCGCGUGUAGGCGGUUCGGUAAGGCGGAUGUGAAAACCCUGGGCUCAACCCAGGGCCGGCAUCCGCGACUGCCGGGCUGGAGUGCGGGAGGGGAGAGCGGAAUUCCUGGUGUAGCGGUGAAAUGCGUAGAUAUCAGGAGGAACACCGGUGGCGAAGGCGGCUCUCUGGACCGUUACUGACGCUGAGACGCGAAAGCUAGGGGAGCAAACAGGAUUAGAUACCCUGGUAGUCCUAGCUGUAAACGAUGGAUGCUAGGUGUGGGCGGUUCACUCCGUCCGUGCCGACGCUAACGCAGUAAGCAUCCCGCCUGGGGAGUACGGUCGCAAGGCUG
This 371-nucleotide ribosomal RNA is filed under the name uncultured bacterium. Its description in RNAcentral is "bacterial SSU rRNA". It matches the Rfam family "Bacterial small subunit ribosomal RNA", at positions 525 to 896 of the family's 1533-position model. The record is from RNAcentral.